This 791-nucleotide ribosomal RNA is filed under the name uncultured crenarchaeote. RNAcentral's name for it is "bacterial SSU rRNA". It matches the Rfam family "Archaeal small subunit ribosomal RNA", at positions 85 to 879 of the family's 1478-position model. The record is from RNAcentral. Lineage: Archaea; Thermoproteati; Thermoproteota.
ACGGCUCAGUAACACGUAGUCAACAUGCCCAGGGGACGUGGAUAACCUCGGGAAACUGAGGAUAAACCGCGAUAAGUCACUACUUCUGGAAUGGGUAAUGACUUAAACCUAUAUGGCCCCUGGAUUGGACUGCGGCCGAUCAGGCUGUUGGUGAGGUAAUGGCCCACCAAACCUGUAACCGGUACGGGCUCUGAGAGGAGGAGCCCGGAGAUGGGCACUGAGACAAGGGCCCAGGCCCUAUGGGGCGCAGCAGGCGCGAAACCUCUGCAAUAGGCGAAAGCCUGACAGGGUUACUCUGAGUGAUUUCCGUUAAGGAGAUCUUUUGGCACCUCUAAAAAUGGUGCAGAAUAAGGGGUGGGCAAGUCUGGUGUCAGCCGCCGCGGUAAUACCAGCACCCCGAGUGGUCGGGACGUUUAUUGGGCCUAAAGCAUCCGUAGCCGGUUCUGCAAGUCUUCCGUUAAAUCCACCUGCUUAACAGAUGGGCUGCGGAAGAUACUAUAGAGCUAGGAGGCGGGAGAGGCAAGCGGUACUCGAUGGGUAGGGGUAAAAUCCGUUGAUCCAUUGAAGACCACCAGUGGCGAAGGCGGCUUGCCAGAACGCGCUCGACGGUGAGGGAUGAAAGCUGGGGGAGCAAACCGGAUUAGAUACCCGGGUAGUCCCAGCUGUAAACGAUGCAGACUCGGUGAUGAAUUGGCCUCAUGCCAAUUCAGUGCCGCAGGGAAGCCGUUAAGUUUGCCGCCUGGGGAGUACGGUCGCAAGACUGAAACUUAAAGGAAUUGGCGGGGGAGCAC